This 1006-nucleotide ribosomal RNA is filed under the name uncultured bacterium. RNAcentral's name for it is "bacterial SSU rRNA". It matches the Rfam family "Bacterial small subunit ribosomal RNA", at positions 376 to 1382 of the family's 1533-position model. The record is from RNAcentral.
GGCAACCCUGAACCAGCCAUGCCGCGUGCAGGAAGACGGCCCUCUGGGUUGUAAACUGCUUUUAUCCGGGAAUAAACCCCCUUACGUGUAAGGGGCUGAAUGUACCGGAAGAAUAAGGAUCGGCUAACUCCGUGCCAGCAGCCGCGGUAAUACGGAGGAUCCAAGCGUUAUCCGGAUUUAUUGGGUUUAAAGGGUGCGUAGGCGGCCUGUUAAGUCAGGGGUGAAAGACGGUGGCUCAACCAUCGCAGUGCCUUUGAUACUGACGGGCUUGAAUACACUUGAAGUAGGCGGAAUGUGACAAGUAGCGGUGAAAUGCAUAGAUAUGUCACAGAACACCGAUUGCGAAGGCAGCUUACUAAGGUGCAAUUGACGCUGAGGCACGAAAGCGUGGGGAUCAAACAGGAUUAGAUACCCCUGGUAGUCCACGCCCUAAACGAUGAAUACUCGAUGUUAGCGAUAUACAGUUAGCGUCUAAGCGAAAGCGUUAAGUAUUCCACCUGGGGAGUACGCCCGCAAGGGUGAAACUCAAAGGAAUUGACGGGGGCCCGCACAAGCGGAGGAGCAUGUGGUUUAAUUCGAUGAUACGCGAGGAACCUUACCCGGGCUUGAAAGUUACUGAAGUAUCCAGAGAUGGAUGCGUCCGCAAGGACAGGAAACUAGGUGCUGCAUGGCUGUCGUCAGCUCGUGCCGUGAGGUGUUGGGUUAAGUCCCGCAACGAGCGCAACCCCUAUGUUUAGUUGCCAGCACGUCAAGGUGGGGACUCUAAACAGACUGCCUGUGCAAACAGAGAGGAAGGAGGGGACGACGUCAAGUCAUCAUGGCCCUUACGUCCGGGGCUACACACGUGCUACAAUGGGCAGUACAGAGGGCCGCUACCUGGUAACAGGAUGCCAAUCUCAAAAAGCUGUUCACAGUUCGGAUUGAGGUCUGCAACUCGACCUCAUGAAGUUGGAUUCGCUAGUAAUCGCAGAUCAGCAAUGCUGCGGUGAAUACGUUCCCGGGCCUU